ACACGCGCGCACACACACACACACACACACACACCCACACACACACACACACACACACACACCACAACUCGCAAUCGCUAAACUGGUCUGAGUCCACAGGUCACCAAAGAAGCUUCCAGGGAUAUAUCGGACCAAAAACCAUGACCCAGCCAGGGCCUUAUAUAGGCCCUGUGUGUGAUUCCAUCACAAAGGCUUUUCAUGAGUUCAGAGCAAAGCAGGGGCCAGUCAUGGCUGGGGAUCAUUCACAGAGGUUUUCUCACUUUUGGUCCCCAAAACAUCUUCCUCUUUUAAAAAGAAAAGUGCUUUUGUCUAGGUGGGUUAUAGAGAUUGAUAUUGUUUCCUAGCUAUUUAAACUGAUACAGCACUUCAACAGCAUUUUCAUUUGUAGUUUCUUUUUCUAUAAUUUUUUAUUAUACUCUUAAGUUCUGGGGUACAUAUGUAAAUUGUGCAGGUUUGUUCCAUAGGUUUACAUGUGCCAUGGUGGUUUUCAAUCAUUUGUAAUUUCAAAAUCUGAAACAGCUUUUGGAUUCUGAAGAUCUCCUAAUGUCUACAUGCAAAAUAUUCAAUUCCUUUUCUUUCAUCUCUGAAUGGUUGGUCUCAACCAUUGAGAAGGGAGAGAAUAUUUUCCUUUCCUUGUAGGGUUUUUCCUUCCUCAUGUGGUUGAGAUUAUGUAAUGGACACAGAGGAAACAGACACAUCCUACCCUCCACGAGCCCAUAGCCUCGUCAGGAAGGCCCCCCAGCCAUGAAGCUCCUUCAGCGUGAGGAGCACCAGCAUGACCUUCCAGUGCCUUCAUCGGCCUCCACAGAGCUCGUCCUGGUAGAGGACGUGAGGGUGAGCCUGGAAGAGGUGACCAUCUACGACCGUCUUGGCUUCCAGAUACAGCCCUUGCCCUGCCAGCUACCUGGGUAAGACCCUCUUGUGCCUGGGGGACCCCCUCGCCCUCCAACACACACACAGCCCAACUCUCCCUGAAUCUGCCUCCUGCAGGUGGAGCUCCACCUCAGGAAAGACUCGGGUGACUUCUUCCUCAACACCAGUGCUGCGGACGACAUCAAGACGGCCUACCAGGAAACCAGGGCCAGCGCCAUGGUAAGUUUGGGUCAUUGGUCCCCGGGGUGAUUUUCAUUCUUCAUCUGGGCCAUCGUGAUGUUCAUAGAUUGGUAUUUUAAAAGCUGUCACUUAAUCUCAUCAGCUAUAAGUAGCAAAGCUGUCAGAGUCUCUGAUUUAUUCUGCAACUUUAGUCAUUUCCAUGCUACCUUGUGAUUUUUUUUAAUUUUUGAGACAGAGUCUCACUCUGUUGCCUGGGCUGGAGUGCAGUGGCAGGAUCCUAGCUCACUGCAGCCUUCACCUCCUGGGCUUAAGUGACCCUCCCAACUCAGCCUCUGGAGUAGCUGUGACUACCGCCACCCGGCGGUGCACACCACCACACCCGGCUAAUUUUUGUAUUUUUUGUAGAGAUGGGAUCUUGCCAUGUUGCCCAGGCUGGUCUCAAACUCCUGGGCUCAAGAGAUCCACCGGCCCUGGCCUCUCAAAGUGCUGGCAUUCCCGUUGUGACCCUCCGCACCCAGGCUACCUUGAUGAUUUUCAUUCCACGUCCACAAACUACCCACACUGUUACCUAGUGGUUUCCUUUCUGUCAGUCUUUUCAUUAAGAUUAAAAUGUUAUUACAUAAGCAGCACUCUAACAACAAUAAAGAAAAUGGCUUUUAAAGAGGCCGCACCUUUCUCUGUUUCCCCAUUCCCUCUCCCUAUUCUUGCGAGUGUUGACUUAUCUGUGCUCGUGGCAUGGAAGAAUUUAGUGUUCUGUUUUCCACGAUCUUAUUCUGUUCUCACUUUUUCUAUUUCCCCGUGUUGAUAGGGAGGCUGGCUGAUGAUUUUUAUGUCGUCAUUUGUACUUUUGCCAUUCUUUUCUAAUCAGAGCGUUUGGAAGGCCAAAGUGUUUUUGUUCUUCCAAAAAUAUAGGGAAGAAUAGAAUGAAAAGAGUAAAAACAAACACUAUCAGACACGUCUGCAUAUCUGCACGAUGGGUUAUGAUGAAAUCACAAAUACAGAACUUACUUUAGAAGGGAGCUCUUACUACUGAAAGUGUAAUAAACCCUCUCUAAGUCAUCGACCCAAGGCAGCCCAAAGCCGAUUGGUUUGAUACAACAAUGGCAGUGACACCCACCCCAGCAUGUCGUUAAACCACUGCUGUGCUGUGGCCUUUGAGCUGCUGUGAGCCCAAGACCUGCUUUCCUCUGUUAAAAGGGGCGGUUCCACGUGCUUGAGGGGUGUGGCAGUCAGGCCAGCUUCAGAGACUUUCUCCGGACCCAGCGAGGCCUGGGUCGAUCCGGUGCUCGGUGUGUGGUGGGGACUCAGAUGGUGCAGCGCUGUGGGUGGGCUAGAGGUGCCCUGACCGUGGGUCUCCUGCCGUCCUGAUACUCGGGUUUGCUCUUGGCUUUGCCUGGUUCAUGGAGGUAGCCCUUGAGGGCUCGCAGCAGCAGGAAACAACUUCCUGGCUUGAGGAGAGGCCAAAGUCGGAAUUCACUGCCUGGCACAGAAACACAGGGUUCCUGGGAAGCUGGAACCUGCCUUAUGAAAGCCCCCAUUCCCAUCACCCCCUCCAU
Molecule: RNA transcript, 2609 nt
Organism: Sapajus apella (tufted capuchin)
Lineage: Eukaryota; Metazoa; Chordata; Mammalia; Primates; Cebidae
Gene name: nuclear pore membrane glycoprotein 210-like
Exons: 3
Source: RefSeq, a predicted model, not a curated record